CUACCAGACUCCUACGGGAGGCAGCAGUGAGGAAUAUUGGUCAAUGGGCGGGAGCCUGAACCAGCCAAGUCGCGUGAAGGAAGAAGGUACUUAGUAUUGUAAACUUCUUUUGUCGGGGAACAAAGGCGGAGACGCGUCUCCGGAUGAGUGUACCCGAAGAAAAAGCAUCGGCUAACUCCGUGCCAGCAGCCGCGGUAAUACGUAGGUGGCAAGCGUUAUCCGGAUUUACUGGGUGUAAAGGGCGUGUAGGCGGGAAAGCAAGUCAGAUGUGAAAACCAUGGGCUCAACCUGUGGCCUGCAUUUGAAACUGUUUUUCUUGAGUACUGGAGAGGCAGACGGAAUUCCUAGUGUAGCGGUGAAAUGCGUAGAUAUUAGGAGGAACACCAGUGGCGAAGGCGGUCUGCUGGACAGCAACUGACGCUGAGGCGCGAAAGCGUGGGGAGCAAACAGGAUUAGAUACCCCGGUAC
This 468-nucleotide ribosomal RNA is filed under the name uncultured bacterium. Its description in RNAcentral is "bacterial SSU rRNA". It matches the Rfam family "Bacterial small subunit ribosomal RNA", at positions 328 to 793 of the family's 1533-position model. The record is from RNAcentral.